AUGUUAUUUAAAAAAAUACAUAUAAUCUCUCCUAUGCUAGAAAAAUAUAAAAGGGCCCAGCUUUGUUAGUGCAGGAAGUUAAAAAGGCCUUUAUUACACUCUACACACUUACACACUUUAUUAACAUUCCUAAUUGUUGCAGAAAAAUGAUCACUUCAGGGUCAAACUUCA
Sebastes umbrosus (honeycomb rockfish) is the source of this 171-nucleotide long non-coding RNA. RefSeq lists it as uncharacterized. The record is from RefSeq and is a predicted model, not a curated record. Lineage: Eukaryota; Metazoa; Chordata; Actinopteri; Perciformes; Sebastidae. The transcript is spliced from 3 exons.